Molecule: ribosomal RNA, 720 nt
Filed under: Klebsiella aerogenes
Lineage: Bacteria; Pseudomonadati; Pseudomonadota; Gammaproteobacteria; Enterobacterales; Enterobacteriaceae
Description: bacterial LSU rRNA
Rfam family: Bacterial large subunit ribosomal RNA
Source: RNAcentral
CGUACCUUUUUGUAUAAUGGGUCAGCGACUUAUAUUCUGUAGCAAGGUUAACCGUAUAGGGGAGCCGCAGGGGAAAACCGAGUUUUAACUGGGCGUUAAGUUGCAGGGUAUAGACCCGAAACCCGGUGAUCUAGCCAUGGGCAGGUUGAAGGUUGGGUAACACUAACUGGAGGACCGAACCGACUAAUGUUGAAAAAUUAGCGGAUGACUUGUGGCUGGGGGUGAAAGGCCAAUCAAACCGGGAGAUAGCUGGUUCUCCCCGAAAGCUAUUUAGGUAGCGCCUCGUGAAUUCAUCUUCGGGGGUAGAGCACUGUUUCGGCUAGGGGGUCAUCCCGACUUACCAACCCGAUGCAAACUACGAAUACCGAAGAAUGUUAUCACGGGAGACACACGGCGGGUGCUAACGUCCGUCGUGAAGAGGGAAACAACCCAGACCGCCAGCUAAGGUCCCAAAGUCACAGUUAAGUGGGAAACGAUGUGGGAAGGCACAGACACCCAGGAUGUUGGCUUAGAAGCAGCCAUCAUUUAAAGAAAGCGUAAUAGCUCACUGGUCGAGUCGGCCUGCGCGGAAGAUGUAACGGGGUUAAACUGUGCACCGAAGUUGCGGCAGCGACACUAUGUGUUGGGGGGUAGGGGAGCAUUCUGUAAGCCUGCGAAGGUGGCCUGUCAGGGUUGCGGGAGGAUCAGAAGUGCGAAUGCCGACAUAAGUAACGAUAAUGC